UUUCGACAAAGCUAUACAUUUUACGGUUAACAGAAAUUAGCCUGCAGGAUACGUUACGUAUUAUUAUAUCCUCAGUUGUACGUUUCAAUUACACAGCUGCUGUAAAUCCUGCGUGACCACUUCCCCGGAAGGUAAUGCGACCAACCAAAAUCCAAUUACUGUUAUCAUUAUUAUUUUUAAUUCGUCCGAUUACGUACGCUUCUGGUGCACAACAUGUGUUCGGCAAACACCGCACGCGUGUGUAAUUAAAACGAUAAGCGCAGAAAUCGUUUUUCUAUGAAAUUAGAAACAUAGUUUUAAACAUCGUAUGGCAUAAGAUACAACAAUAUUUUUGGCCAACUAUUUUUAUUUUUGGACCACUGUGCGCCGUCUCGAACUUUCUGGCUGCCGUGUCGUAUCCCGGAAUCGGUUCCUGCCUCUUUCUAGAAACUUCUCGGCGCCGGGUUAGCGUGCUUUCCCUUUUACCCCUUUCGUCAGCCUACCCAGUUUACUCAUUGCACAGCCGUGAAGCUCUUGGAAUUAUUAUGUACUUAUCCGCGUGGCCCGUGAACCUGAAUAAAUUGAAUACGUUGGUCACCUCUGGUACAUACACACCACCGUGACUGGCCAUCGUCAAAUUAGAAUGUGUAUGCGGUGCAUUCCCGUGUAUGUAUCGUUUUUCGUCUUGAUUAUUAUGAUACAUCCGGAGCCUUGAUUAUCACUCCGAGUCGAAUCAAAUUAUUACCGUUUUCAAUCCGGCGGUCAUGCGAUAAUCGAUAAUAUUUGUCAAUAAUGUCAACUUGUAUCAUUAUACUUAUUUUGUUAAUAUUAUUUUCUUAUUGCCAGUACGAAAUAUUAUUUAUUAUUAUAUUUUAUU
Molecule: long non-coding RNA, 856 nt
Organism: Sipha flava (yellow sugarcane aphid)
Lineage: Eukaryota; Metazoa; Arthropoda; Insecta; Hemiptera; Aphididae
Exons: 3
Source: RefSeq, a predicted model, not a curated record